GACGAACGCUGGCGGCGUGCUUAACACAUGCAAGUCGAACGGUGAACGAGGGAGCUUGCUCCCUCCGGAUCAGUGGCGAACGGGUGAGUAACACGUGAGCAAUCUGCCCCGAACUCUGGGAUAAGCGUUGGAAACGACGUCUAAUACCGGAUACGACGCGGGAGGGCAUCCUCUCCGCGUGGAAAGAACUUCGGUUCGGGAUGAGCUCGCGGCCUAUCAGCUUGUUGGUGAGGUAACGGCUCACCAAGGCGACGACGGGUAGCCGGCCUGAGAGGGUGACCGGCCACACUGGGACUGAGACACGGCCCAGACUCCUAGGGGAGGCAGGAGUGGGGAAUAUUGCACAAUGGGCGCAAGCCUGAUGCAGCAACGCCGCGUGAGGGACGACGGCCUUAGGGUUGUAAACCUCUUUUAGCAGGGAAGAAGCGAAAGUGACGGUACCUGCAGAAAAAGCACCGGCUAACUACGU
RNAcentral lists this ribosomal RNA (469 nucleotides) under uncultured bacterium. Its description in RNAcentral is "partial 16S ribosomal RNA". It matches the Rfam family "Bacterial small subunit ribosomal RNA", at positions 28 to 506 of the family's 1533-position model. The record is from RNAcentral.